GAUGAACGCUGGCGGCGUGCCUAAUACAUGCAAGUCGAGCGAACAGACGAGGAGCUUGCUCCUCUGACGUUAGCGGCGGACGGGUGAGUAACACGUGGAUAACCUACCUAUAAGACUGGGAUAACUUCGGGAAACCGGAGCUAAUACCGGAUAAUAUAUUGAACCGCAUGGUUCAAUAGUGGAAGACGGUUUUGCUGUCACUUAUAGAUGGAUCCGCGCCGCAUUAGCUAGUUGGUAAGGUAACGGCUUACCAAGGCAACGAUGCGUAGCCGACCUGAGAGGGUGAUCGGCCACACUGGAACUGAGACACGGUCCAGACUCCUACGGGAGGCAGCAGUAGGGAAUCUUCCGCAAUGGGCGAAAGCCUGACGGAGCAACGCCGCGUGAGUGAUGAAGGUCUUCGGAUCGUAAAACUCUGCUAUUAGGGAAGAACAAAUGUGUAAGUAACUAUGCACGUCUUGACGGGACCUAAUCAGAAAGCCACGGCUAACUACGU
RNAcentral lists this ribosomal RNA (496 nucleotides) under uncultured bacterium. RNAcentral describes it as "partial 16S ribosomal RNA". It matches the Rfam family "Bacterial small subunit ribosomal RNA", at positions 28 to 506 of the family's 1533-position model. The record is from RNAcentral.